UCGAGAAUCUUCGGCAAUGGGCGCAAGCCUGACCGAGCGACGCCGCGUGCGGGAUGAAGGCCUUCGGGUUGUAAACCGCUGUCGUAGGGGAGGAAGCGACCGUGAAGAACGGAAGUUGACCGAUCCUAGGAGGAAGGGCCGGCUAAUCUCGUGCCAGCAGCCGCGGUAAUACGAGAGGCCCAAACGUUAUUCGGAUUUACUGGGCUUAAAGAGUUCGUAGGCGGUGCAGAUAGUGGGGUGUGAAAGCCCUCGGCUCAACCGAGGAAUUGCGCUCCAAACUCCUGUACUCGAGGAAGCUAGAGGUGAGCAGAACAGAUGGUGGAGCGGUGAAAUGCGUUGAUAUCAUCUGGAAUACCGGAGGCGAAGGCGGCUCACUGGGGCUUUUCUGACGCUGAGGAACGAAAGCCAGGGUAGCGAACGG
This 421-nucleotide ribosomal RNA is filed under the name uncultured bacterium. RNAcentral's name for it is "bacterial SSU rRNA". It matches the Rfam family "Bacterial small subunit ribosomal RNA", at positions 355 to 775 of the family's 1533-position model. The record is from RNAcentral.